UGGGGAAUAUUGCACAAUGGGCGCAAGCCUGAUGCAGCCAUGCCGCGUGUGUGAAGAAGGCCUUCGGGUUGUAAAGCACUUUCAGCGAGGAGGAAGGUGGUGAGCUUAAUACGCUCAUCAAUUGACGUUACUCGCAGAAGAAGCACCGGCUAACUCCGUGCCAGCAGCCGCGGUAAUACGGAGGGUGCAAGCGUUAAUCGGAAUUACUGGGCGUAAAGCGCACGCAGGCGGUUUGUUAAGUCAGAUGUGAAAUCCCCGGGCUCAACCUGGGAACUGCAUUUGAAACUGGCAAGCUAGAGUCUCGUAGAGGGGGGUAGAAUUCCAGGUGUAGCGGUGAAAUGCGUAGAGAUCUGGAGGAAUACCGGUGGCGAAGGCGGCCCCCUGGACGAAGACUGACGCUCAGGUGCGAAAGCGUGGGGAGCAAACAGAUUAGAUACCCUGGUAGUCCAGCGCUGUAAAACGAUGUCGAUUUUGGAGGUUGUGCCCUUGAGGCGUGGCUUCCGGAGCUAACGCGUUAAAUCGACCGCCUGGGGAGUACGGCCGCAAGGUUAAAACUCAAAGGAAUUGACGGGGUCAUAGCUGUUUCCU
RNAcentral lists this ribosomal RNA (588 nucleotides) under uncultured bacterium. RNAcentral's name for it is "partial 16S ribosomal RNA". It matches the Rfam family "Bacterial small subunit ribosomal RNA", at positions 355 to 1375 of the family's 1533-position model. The record is from RNAcentral.